Non-coding RNA from Podarcis lilfordi (Lilford's wall lizard), 76 nucleotides. NCBI's taxonomy places the organism in Eukaryota, Metazoa, Chordata, Lepidosauria, Squamata, Lacertidae. The record is from the annotation of a GenBank genome assembly.
UGUUAACAAUGGCUCAGUAGGUAGAGCAUGAGACUCUUAAUCUCAGGGUUGUGGGUUUGAGCCCCAUGUUGGGCAA